AUGUAUUGUUAUGCGAAGGAUACUAUAUACUUGUCGACACUGGCGUACUAAAUAUAUUGCACAUGUUCAUACAUUUUCAUACAUGUAAAACAUAUUUAGAACUCAAGUACCGAAAAAUGAACAUCGAAACGGGAGAACACGAACAUCAUGCUAC
Molecule: microRNA precursor, 154 nt
Filed under: Drosophila sechellia
Lineage: Eukaryota; Metazoa; Arthropoda; Insecta; Diptera; Drosophilidae
Description: microRNA dse-mir-4966 precursor (dse-mir-4966-2)
Source: miRBase by way of RNAcentral